Phrynosoma platyrhinos (Desert horned lizard) is the source of this 73-nucleotide non-coding RNA. NCBI's taxonomy places the organism in Eukaryota, Metazoa, Chordata, Lepidosauria, Squamata, Phrynosomatidae. The record is from the annotation of a GenBank genome assembly.
GACCAGUGUGGCGUAGUGGUUUGAAUGUUGAACUAUAGCUUGGAAGUCUAGGGUUCGAUUCCCAGCUUGGCCA